AGCAGCCGCGGUAAUUCCAGCUCCAAUAGCGUAUAUUAAAGUUGUUGCAGUUAAAAAGCUCGUAGUUGAAUUUCGGGACCAAUAUGUCGGUCGUGCCUCGGUACGCACUGGCUUAUUGGUUUCUCCUUUCUGAAGAACCAUGAUGUCAUUCAUUUGGUGUCGUGGGGAAUCAGGACUGUUACUUUGAAAAAUUAGAGUGUUUAAAGCAGGCUCACGCUUGAAUACAUUAGCAUGGAAUAAUGAAAUAGGACGUUUGAUUCUAUUUUGUUGGUUUCUAGGAUCGACGUAAUGAUUAAUAGGGAUAGUUGGGGGCAUUAGUAUUCAAUUGUCAGAGGUGAAAUUCUUGGAUUUAUUGAAGACUAACUACUGCGAAAGCAUUUGCCAAGGAUGUUUUCAUUAAUCAAGAACGAAAGUUAGGGGAGUCGAAGACGAUCAGAUA
Molecule: ribosomal RNA, 439 nt
Filed under: uncultured Glomus
Lineage: Eukaryota; Fungi; Glomeromycota; Glomeromycetes; Glomerales; Glomeraceae
Description: SSU rRNA
Rfam family: Eukaryotic small subunit ribosomal RNA
Source: RNAcentral